RNAcentral lists this ribosomal RNA (253 nucleotides) under uncultured bacterium. RNAcentral describes it as "partial 16S ribosomal RNA". It matches the Rfam family "Bacterial small subunit ribosomal RNA", at positions 524 to 776 of the family's 1533-position model. The record is from RNAcentral.
UACAGAGGGUGCAAGCGUUGUUCGGAAUUACUGGGCGUAGAGCGCGUGUAGGCGGCUUAUUAAGUCGGACGUGAAAUCCCUUGGCUCAACCAAGGAACUGCGUCCGAUACUGCUAGGCUUGAGUGUCGGAGGGGGUGGCGGAAUUCCUGGUGUAGAGGUGAAAGUCGGAGAUAUCAGGAGGAACACCUGGGGCGAAGGCGGCCACCGGGAAGACAACUGACGCUGAGACGCGAAAGCGUUGGGAGCAAACAGG